Molecule: ribosomal RNA, 422 nt
Filed under: uncultured bacterium
Lineage: Bacteria
Description: partial 16S ribosomal RNA
Rfam family: Bacterial small subunit ribosomal RNA
Source: RNAcentral
UAAUAUUGGACAAUGGGGGCAACCCUGAUCCAGCUAUGCCGCGAGUGUGAAUAAGGUCAUCGGAUGGUAAAGCACUUUAAGUUGGAAGGAAGGGCGGUAGGCUAAUACCCUGAAGUUUUGACGGUACCAACAGAAUAAGCACCGGCUAACUCUGGGCCAGCAGCCGCGGUAUACAGAGGGUGAAAGCGUUAAUCGUAAUUACUGGGCGUAAAGCGCGCGUAGGUAGUUCAGUAAGAUGGAUGUGAAAUCCCCGGGCUUAACCUGGGAAUUGCUUUCAUAACUGCUGAGCUAGAGUACGGUAGAGGGUAGUGGAAUUUCCUGUGUAGCGGUGAAAUGCGUAGAUAUAGGAAGGAACACCAGUGGCGAAGGCGACCACCUGGGCUAAUACUGACACUGAGGCACGAAAGCGUGGGGAGCGAACA